Molecule: long non-coding RNA, 235 nt
Filed under: Citrus x clementina
Lineage: Eukaryota; Viridiplantae; Streptophyta; Magnoliopsida; Sapindales; Rutaceae
Description: Citrus clementina (C. clementina) long non-coding RNA (CCLE_LNC006720)
Source: RNAcentral
UCAACUUAAUCAGUCCGUACAAUUUUACAUGAACAUGAAACCAUUUACGUUGCUUAAAAAUUUGAUCGAAUGUAUUGACUGACAAUGGAUCAAAAUGAACCCAGACCUUGACUAAUCUAUUUAAAAGGGCCGUGAUUUAAAUGAACAAAUUUAAACGGUUGAGCCCAGUUCCGCUUGGCCCAAUAUUUAAAACAAAAUCAGCGAGCCUCGGAAGAGAUACAUGUUCUCCCUUUAG